This 497-nucleotide ribosomal RNA is filed under the name uncultured bacterium. RNAcentral describes it as "partial 16S ribosomal RNA". It matches the Rfam family "Bacterial small subunit ribosomal RNA", at positions 28 to 507 of the family's 1533-position model. The record is from RNAcentral.
GAUGAACGCUGGCGGCGUGCCUAAUACAUGCAAGUCGAGCGAACAGACGAGGAGCUUGCUCCUCUGACGUUAGCGGCGGACGGGUGAGUAACACGUGGAUAACCUACCUAUAAGACUGGGAUAACUUCGGGAAACCGGAGCUAAUACCGGAUAAUAUAUUGAACCGCAUGGUUCAAUAGUGAAAGACGGUUUUGCUGUCACUUAUAGAUGGAUCCGCGCCGCAUUAGCUAGUUGGUAAGGUAACGGCUUACCAAGGCGACGAUGCGUAGCCGACCUGAGAGGGUGAUCGGCCAAACUGGAACUGAGACACGGUCCAGACUCCUACGGGAGGCAGCAGUAGGGAAUCUUCAGCAAUGGGCGAAAGCCUGACGGAGCAACGCCGCGUGAGUGAUGAAGGUCUUCGGAUCGUAAAACUCUGUUAUUAGGGAAGAACAAAUGUGUAAGUAACUAUGCACGUCUUGACGGUACCUAAUCAGAAAGCCACGGCUAACUACGUG